This 349-nucleotide ribosomal RNA is filed under the name uncultured bacterium. RNAcentral's name for it is "partial 16S ribosomal RNA". It matches the Rfam family "Bacterial small subunit ribosomal RNA", at positions 338 to 686 of the family's 1533-position model. The record is from RNAcentral.
CCUACGGGUGGCAGCAGUGAGGAAUAUUGGUCAAUGGGCGAGAGCCUGAACCAGCCAAGUCGCGUGAGGGAGUACUGCCCUAUGGGUUGUAAACCUCUUUUGUCGGGGAGCAAAAGCCGGACGUGUCCGGCUGUGAGAGUACCCGAAGAAAAAGCAUCGGCUAACUCCGUGCCAGCAGCCGCGGUAAUACGGAGGAUGCGAGCGUUAUCCGGUGUUAUUGGGUUUAAAGGGUGCGCAGGCGGAUUUUUAAGUCAGCGGUCAAAUCGUGGGGGUCAACCCCAUCCAGCCGUUGAAACUGGGGAGUGAGAGAGUGCGAGAGGUAGGAGGAAUGCGUGGUGGAGCGGUGAAA